Molecule: small RNA, 72 nt
Filed under: Allobosea sp. BK604
Lineage: Bacteria; Pseudomonadati; Pseudomonadota; Alphaproteobacteria; Hyphomicrobiales; Alloboseaceae
Description: Bosea sp. BK604 suhB
Rfam family: Makes More Granules Regulator RNA (mmgR) (bases 9-72)
About the family: SuhB later renamed mmgR (makes more granules regulator) was a putative non-coding RNA found multiple times in the Agrobacterium tumefaciens genome and related alpha-proteobacteria. Other non-coding RNAs uncovered in the same analysis include: speF, ybhL, metA, and serC.
Source: RNAcentral
ACCGCUCGCCCCUCCUUGGGCGUUUCCUCCCUUGACUUGCCCGGCCUCGUGCCGGGCUUUUCUUUUGCCGCG